CACCUUUUUAGAUCAAUGUCAUUUUUUGGUAAUAUUUCUUUUCAGCUUGCAAAGUCUAUAAAUCUCACAAUUGCUUUUAAAACUACAAACAGUUUAAAACACCGGUAUGAACGUUGAAUGUGGCGGGGCGGAAUAGUCUGCCACCCAAGAUGGCCGAUUGAUUCUGAUUGUCUAAUUUUUGACGUACAUCAAAUAUGACAAUAGUGACGUUAAUGACAUUUUAACUGUCGUAUUUGACGAUUGUCUUUUUUAAGUUUUCUUUGGGUGGAAAACAAGCCAAGCCUCAUGAUUAUCUCCCAAUUUAAAGUUUUUAAGUAAAUUAAUAGCUUUUUGUAUUUUUUUUGAGUCCUGGGUUGAUAAAUUAUUUUACAAACGUGCCAACAUCGAAUCAUCGUGCAACUACAUAGAGCAGGAGACAGGUCUACACGUCACCAUCUCUACUUUGGAGUCGACCAAGCGCCCAGUUGUUUUACAAGCAAUUUUAGAUAAACUCACUGCAUAUACCUCCACCGAAUUUUCAUCAGGUUUCGUACAGUCCGAUUAAUCGUUAAAAUGAACGUUCGAUACACUAACCGAUCUAACUCCGGACUAUUCUACCGACUGCGCCAUUUAACUAACUUAAUAACCAAAACGCCUUUUAAAAAAAAUAUUAUUUUAUUUGAAAAUUAAUUAAUACAAAAUUACAUGCUAAUUGUCUUAGGCAAUUUAACAGUCUGGCAAAUAUUUUUGUGUGUUAUGGAAUUUGGUAGUAUAUCAUCAUGACGAAUUACAUUGAAACAAUGGCAUUUAGAUGCCUCAGAGAAAACUUUAUUGAUUGCCUAUGAUUCUGCAAAAGGGAACAAUGGAUUUCAUUAAUUGAAAUCAACACAAUUAAAAAGAACAUAUUUGUUUGUUGAGAUCACAUCCUUAGAAGUGAUUCCUUAUAUAAGGGAGAUAAUAUUAUCAGUAGCCAGACUUUAUUAAAAAAAUCAGCUCUACCUCAAAGGUUUUCCGACGCACUGGUUAAAAACACAGCAACCGAUAAUUCAGUUAAUUUACCAAGUGAUUUACCCUUCAAAGCUGCAGGGGUAGCUGUCCUGAAGAGUGCAAAAACUUCUUUAGCUUCCAAAACGGUAUAUAGGACAAACAGUGAAGCUAAUAUAGACAAAACUGAUCAUUCAUCAUUUCAUCAUCAACAAUAACUGCAUCUGAGAUUAAUAGUUCUACAGUAACCAUGGGGUCUAGGUCAACAAUUACUAUUUCUCAUCCCAGCCGUUUUCGUUUAACUGCUACACCUUUCCUGAUUCUGCCAAGGAAAAGGGUAAAAUCAAAAUGAUAUCCUGGGGACCUAAGCACUGAUGAUUCCACUGUUUCAAAAGCUAAAGUUAGUUGUCAAAUUAUGGAAAAAAAAGAACAAAAAAUUGAAAUUCGAAGAUUGCAACAAAUUUGCGCCAAACAAAUCGAAUUAGAUGUCUCGAUGUCAUUAUUUAAAUAUUUAAAUAAUGACUAUAUAAAGAAAUAAUAACAUGAUUUUCGAAAAAGUGAUGUAAA
Molecule: long non-coding RNA, 1530 nt
Organism: Anthonomus grandis grandis
Lineage: Eukaryota; Metazoa; Arthropoda; Insecta; Coleoptera; Curculionidae
Exons: 7
Source: RefSeq, a predicted model, not a curated record